AUGGGCUCCGCCUCCGCCUCCUCGCUCCCGACAUCCGCCGGCGCUGGUGAGAACUUGGUCCUCAUCCUCGACUUCGGCUCGCAGUAUACCCAGCUCAUCACCCGCCGCGUCCGGCAGCUGGGAGUCCUCUCACUGUGCGUCUCCGGCACCGCCCCACUCUCCUCCAUCACCGGGUUUCAUCCCCGCGCCGUCAUACUCUCCGGCGGACCCCACUCCGUCCAUGCCUCGGGCGCGCCCUCCUUCCCCGCGGGAUUCCUCGAUUUCGCUGCCGACGCGGGCGCGCACGUUUUGGGCGUGGGCUACGGUAUGCAGCUCCUAGUUCAGUCCCUCGGCGGUGCCGUCGAGGCUGGCGAGCGGCAGGAGUACGGCGAUAUGGAGGUAGAGACUACCGCUCCGUCCUCCACACUGUACGGGGAGAGCGUGGUGGGGAUCAGACAGUCGGUGUGGAUGAGCCACGGCGACGAGGUGGUCAGACUGCCUCAGGGGUUCGAGGUUGUGGCGCGAAGUGUGCAGGGCGCAAUCACAGCCAUCGAGCAUCGGGAGAAGCGUUUCUAUGGACUCCAGUACCACCCGGAGGUAGCUAUCAUUUACUGUGACACAUCGACCCAAGGAAAGGAAACACUGCGCCACUUUCUUUUUGAUGUUUGUGGAAUUAAAGCUGACUGGAAGAUUCAGGAUGUGCUGGAUGAGGAAAUUAAGACCAUCAAAAGUAUGGUUGGGACUGAUGAACAUGUGAUUUGCGCGUUAUCAGGAGGUGUUGAUUCGACAAUUGCAGCCACACUCGUUCAUAACGUGAUAGGUGAUAGGCUUCAUUGUGUUUUUGUUGACAAUGCUAAACUAACAUAUGAUCUUAUCUGCAUAUACAAGGAGAAGGAACGAGUAAUGUCAACCUUUAAUAGUGACUUGCACCUUCCUGUCACAUGUAUUGAUGCCUCGGAGCAAUUUCUUAGCAAGUUAAAAGGAGUCAAAGACCCAGAGAUGAAAAGAAAGAUUGUUGGCAAAGAAUUCAUAGCUCAGACGGGAAAAAGACCUGAAUAUUUAGUUCAAGGAACAUUAUACCCUGAUGUGAUUGAAUCAUGCCUACCCCCUGGGAGUGGUAUGACACAUUCCCACACCAUCAAAAGCCAUCACAAUGUAGAUGGUCUUCCUGAAGAUAUGAAAUUGAAGCUCAUUGAACCACUGAAGCUCCUAUUUAAGGAUGAGUCAUUCUUAAAGCGACACCCAUUUCCCGGGCCUGGUCUUGCUGUACGUAUCCCAUCAGGUGAUGUUACAGAAGGCAAUGCUUUGGAGAUUCUUCGUCAGGCGGAUGAGAUAUAUGUUCAAGCCAUUAGAGAUGCAGGACUCUAUGAUACAAUUUGGCAAGCUUUUGCUGUGCUUUUGCCUGUCGAAACAGUUGGAGUCCAGGGUGACCAGAGAACUUACGGCUACCCCGUUACUUUAAGGGCAAUUACUAGUGAAGAUGGCAUGACUGCAGACUGGUAUUAUUUUGAGCGCAAGUUCCUGGCAGAUGUGUCUAAUAGGAUCUGCAACAAUGUGCGAGGCGUUAACCAUGUUUGCGUGGACAUAACAUCGAAGCCACCAGCAACGGUGGAGUGGGAGUAG
This 1602-nucleotide ribosomal RNA is filed under the name Triticum aestivum (bread wheat). RNAcentral's name for it is "partial small subunit ribosomal RNA". Lineage: Eukaryota; Viridiplantae; Streptophyta; Magnoliopsida; Poales; Poaceae. The record is from RNAcentral.